RNAcentral lists this signal recognition particle RNA (93 nucleotides) under Rickettsiales bacterium TMED251. Its description in RNAcentral is "signal recognition particle sRNA small type". It matches the Rfam family "Bacterial small signal recognition particle RNA". From Rfam's summary of the family: The signal recognition particle (SRP) is a universally conserved ribonucleoprotein involved in the co-translational targeting of proteins to membranes. Archaeal SRP consists of a 7S RNA and homologues of the eukaryotic SRP19 and SRP54 proteins. The record is from RNAcentral. Lineage: Bacteria; Pseudomonadati; Pseudomonadota; Alphaproteobacteria; Rickettsiales.
GGAAGAUNUUCUUGGAUGCGUUAAAUAUUAAUCCAGUCAGAUCUGAAAAGAAGCAGCUGUAGUAUGGACAUGCAGGUCAAGAGAUCUUCCAAA